Molecule: ribosomal RNA, 480 nt
Filed under: uncultured bacterium
Lineage: Bacteria
Description: partial 16S ribosomal RNA
Rfam family: Bacterial small subunit ribosomal RNA
Source: RNAcentral
GACGAACGCUGGCGGCGUGCUUAACACAUGCAAGUCGAGCGGAAAGGCCCUUUCGGGGGUACUCGAGCGGCGAACGGGCGAGUAACCCGUGAGUAAUCUGCCCCUGGCUUUGGGAUAGCCACCGGAAACGGUGAUUAAUACCGGAUACGAUCACUUCUUGCAUGGGAUGGUGGUGGAAAGUUUUUCGGCCAGGGAUGUGCUAGCGGCCUGUCAGCUUGAUGGUGAGGUAAUUGCUCACCAUGGCUUCGACGGGUAGCCGGCCUGAGAGGGUGACCGAUCACACUGGGACUGAGACACGGCCCAGACUCCUACGGGAGGCAGCAGUGGGGAAUAUUGGACAAUGGGCGGAAGCCUGAUCCAGCAACGCCGCGUGAGGGGUGACGGCCUUCGGGUUGUAAACCUCUUUCAGCAGGGACGAAGCGCAAGUGACGGUACCUGCAGAAGAAGCACCGGCCAACUACGUGCCAGCCGCCGCCGUAA